UGGGGAAUAUUGGACAAUGGGCGCAAGCCUGAUCCAGCCAUGCCGCGUGAGUGAUGAAGGCCUUAGGGUUGUAAAGCUCUUUCGCCGACGAAGAUAAUGACGGUAGUCGGAGAAGAAGCCCCGGCUAACUUCGUGCCAGCAGCCGCGGUAAUACGAAGGGGGCUAGCGUUGUUCGGAAUCACUGGGCGUAAAGCGCACGUAGGCGGAUUGUUAAGUCAGGGGUGAAAGCCUGGAGCUCAACUCCAGAACUGCCCUUGAUACUGGCAAUCUCGAGUCCGGAAGAGGUAAGUGGAACUGCGAGUGUAGAGGUGAAAUUCGUAGAUAUUCGCAAGAACACCAGUGGCGAAGGCGGCUUACUGGUCCGGUACUGACGCUGAGGUGCGAAAGCGUGGGGAGCAAACAGAUUAGAUACCCUGGUAGUCCACGCCGUAAACGAUGGAGGCUAGCCAUUUGGCGAGCAUGCUCGUCAGUGGCGCAGCUAACGCAUUAAGCCUCCCCGCCCUGGGGGAGUACGGUCGCAAGAUUAAAAACUUAAAUGAAUUGACGGGGUCAUAGCUGUUUCCCU
Molecule: ribosomal RNA, 565 nt
Filed under: uncultured bacterium
Lineage: Bacteria
Description: partial 16S ribosomal RNA
Rfam family: Bacterial small subunit ribosomal RNA
Source: RNAcentral